CUGGGCUCACUGCAACCUCUGACUCCCGGGUUCAAGUGAUUCUCCUGCCUCAGCCUCCCGAGUAACUGGGACUACAGGCAUGUGCCACCACGCCUGGCUCAUUUUUUUGUAUUUUAGUAGAGAUGGGGUUUCACCAUGUUGGCCAGGAUGGUCUCAAACUCCAGACUUCGUAAUCCACCUGCCUCAGUCUCCCAAAGUGCUGGGAUUACAGGCGUGCACCACUGCGCCCGGCCAUCUCUUUUCUGAACAUUGAAAACACAUACAUAUAGGUAAUAACCAGUGUGCUCUAGGAUGUGGGAAACAGACAUUAAUUUACACUGUUGGGCCGGGUGCAGUGGCUCAUGCCUAUAAUCCCAACACUUUGAGAGGCCAAGGCAGGCAGAUCACUUGAGCCCAGCAGUUCAAGACCAGCCUGGGCAACAUGGCAAAACCCCAUUUCGGCCUGGUGUGGUGGCUCACUCCUGUAAUCCCAGCAUUUUGGGAGGUCGAGGCAGGUGGAUCACUUGAGGUCAGGAGUCCGAGACCAGCCUGAGCAACAUGGUGAAACCCUGCCUCUGCUAAAAAUACAAAAAUUAGCCGGGAAGCUAAGGCAGGAGAAUCGCUUGAACCUGAGAGGCAGAUGUUGCAGUGAGCCAAGAUCGUGCCACUGCACUCCAGCCUGAGCGACAGAGUGAGACUCUGUCUCAAAAAAAAAAAAAAAAAAAAAAUCUCUGCCAAAAAUACAAAAAUUAGCCAAGUGUGGUGGGACGUGCCUGUAGUCACAGCUACUUGAGAGGCUGAGUUAGGUGGGAGGAUCAUUUGAGCCUGGAAGGUUGAGGCUGCAGUGACCUAUGAUUGCACCACUGCACUCCAGCCUGGGUGAUGGAGCAAGACCCUGCCUAAAAAAAACCCCAAAAUUUACUCUGUUUACUCUCAGCUCACUGCAGCUCAGACCUCUCCAGGCUUAGGUGAUCCUCUCACCUCAGCUUCCUGAGUAGCUGAGACCACAGGCGCGCACCACCACACCCGACUAAUUUUUGUAUUUUUUUGUAGAGACAUGGAUCCUGCUAUGUUGCCCAGGCUGUUCUCAAAUUCCUGGGCUAAAGUGAUCUACCCGACUCAGUCUCCCAAAGUGCUGGCAUUACAGGCAUGAGCCACCAUGCCUGGCCUCUUGCUUACGUCUACUUUGGACUUGCUCUCAGAUUCUUUUGUGUGGCGAAGUGUAAAACCUGGACUGGCUCAGCAGCAACAAUUGGAUUUUAGACGAGUAGACACUCCAAAAGAUGUUCACUACAAUAACCAUUAUCUCAGCACUUCAUUUCUAACCUUAACUCUAACCUAGAGAGACAAUUGCACAAAUGUUCAGAACAGCCUGUAUCAGUUACCUAAUGCCAUGGUAAUGCUGCGUAACAAAUGGAUGUGAAAACGUCAGUGACAUGCAACAUUAAGUUUAUUGCUCAUAUAUCUGGGGCACCCUCACUAAUGGGGUGGAAAGGAGGUGAUCAAAACAUCCAGCCAGAACAUCUGCUUCUCUUCCUCCUCCUUCCCUUUCCCUUCUUCCUUUAUCAACUCUAGCAUUUACUGAACAAUUCUUAUGUUCUGGACACUGCUCAAAAAGCUUCACAGGUAAUAAGUAAGUUCAUUUUCACCAGGAGAUAAGUGUCACUAACAUAUCCACUUUGCAAAUGAGAAAACUGAGUCAGAAAGAAGUUAAAUAACUGGCCUGAAAGCCCAUAGCUAGUGAGGGGUAGACUCAAAGAGUCCUUGCUUCUAAACCCUAAGUCCAGAGGGCAACAACCUUUUUAUAUAAAGGACCAGAAAAUAAAUAUUUUAGGCUUCAUGGGCCAUGUGGAUUUGGCCCAUGGGCCAUAGUUUGCUGACCCUUGCCUUAAUCCAACAGCCUAAGAACCUUCAAAGUAAAGCUGACCAGAGCUUUACCUUUCCACGAGAUUUCCAACAAACCCCUAAAUCCAGUAAAUUAGAAGAAGGGUGUAAUUCACCAUGAAUGAAUUAGGCUGAUUGCUGCAUAAUUCAUGAUUAUCAAAAUGAUGUUUUAAUGUCAGUCAUCUUCUUAAGAUAUUUUUUAAGACUUCUAGGCACUGUCCUAUUGCAGGAGAAAAAUGUUUUUAUACCUUUUUUUUUUUUUUUUUGAGACAGUGUCUCCCUCUGUCACCCAGGCUGGAGUGCAGUGGCACAAUCACAGUUCACUGCAGCCUCAACCUCCCAAGCUCAUGCAAUCCUCCCUCCUCAGCCUCCCUAGUAGCUGGGACUACAGGAGUGUGCCACUGUGCCUGGCUAAUUUUUUAUUUAUUUUUUGUAGAGAUGGGGUCUCACUACUUUGCUCAGGCAGGUCUUGUACGCCUGGGCUAAAGUGAUACCCCUGCCUUGGCCUCCCAAAGUGCUGGGAUUAGAGGCAUGAGCCACCACACCUGGCCACAGGAAAAAAUUCUGCUUCAGUGGAAAAUUAGACACUGUCUAGAGCAGGGAUUGGCAAACCACAGCCCAGAAACCAAAUCCAACCACUCCUAUUUGUUUAUAUUUUUUACAGCUGUUUUCAUGCUUCAAUGGAAGUGGAGUAGUUGCCAUGUAGACCAUAUGUCUAGCAAAGCCUAAGAUAUUUACUACCUGGCCCUUUACAGAAAAAGCCUGGCAACCCAUAGGGUAAAGAACACUCUUCUGAGUUAUCUGAUUCUAGCCUUUCCUUUCCUUUGACCUAUUUUACUAUUCUGCAAGUUCUUGAUAAUUGAUAGCAAUGCAAAAUAAUCCUUUUUUUGUAGACAAGAAAAAGCUGUAAUGUCCACCAGAAGUUCAACCUACUUCCCUCCACCACUACGGAAGAGUUCAAUUUGCACAGUCAUUUCAGUGUUUCUGAUCCAUAACUGUGUCUUUUAUUUGAAUGCGCCUUUGAAUGAGUUGUAACAUUGGUUCCGUCAUUCAUGAGGAAGAUAAAAUCUUUAACACACAUUCACUUCACAUAUGUAUGAAAGUCAUGAUUUUUCUUCUUUCUUUAAUUAUUCUUGAACAUUAUUUAUGGUUUCAUAAGAGUUUAGAGAGCUGCUCUCCAAUGGACAUUAAAAAAUAUCUGCAUCAUUCUACUAGAUCUUGUAAUAGUAGCCCUGAGCUAUAAAUUUUGUACCAGAAACUUGAGAAAAAGUUUGCCUGACUUAAUGGCAUUUUGGGAGGCUGAAAAAUCAACUUUUGAGUAUUAAACUGGAAAUCCAAAACCAGAUGUGGUGACUCACACCUGUAAUCCCAGUGUUUUGGGAGGCCAAGGCAGGAGGAUCUCUUGAGGCCAGGAAUUCAAGACCAGCCUGAGCAACAUAGCAAGACCCCAUCUCUACAAAAACAAAUUAAAAAUUAGUCAGUCAUGGUGGUGUACGCCUGUAGUCCUAGCUACUUGGGAGGAUCUCUUGAGCCCAGUAAUUCGAGGCUGCAGUGAGUGAUGAGCGUGCCUCUUCACUCUAGCCUGGGUGACAGGGUCACUCCCUCUCUCUAAAAAAUAAAAUAAACUGGAAAUCCAAGUAACUAGAUAAUGAGGAGAUAAAACAUAAAACACUCUUAGAAGUUAUGAGUAUGUGAUAUGGCUUGAAUGUGUCCCCACAUUUUAUGUAUUUGAAACUUACUCCCCAAAUUUAUAUGUUAAUUCAAAACAGGGCUUUGGGAAGGUAUUUAGGAUCAGAUAAGGUCAUCAGGGUUAAACGUUCAUGAUGGGACUGGUGGCUUUAUAAAAAAAGGAAGAGAGACCUGAGUUUACAUGCACGCUCUUGCCCCCUCACUACAGGAUGCCCUCUGCCAUGUUAUGACACAGCAAGAAGGCCCUCACCAGAUGUCAGUUCUUCAGUCUUGGCCUUCCCAGCCUCCAGAACUAUUAAUGGGUUGGAUGCAAAUGGUAUGUAUUGACCAACAGCCCCAGCUGAGGUCCAGUUGACAGUCAGCAUCAACUACCAGACAUGGGAAUGAGCAACCUUCAGAUGAUUUCAGCCUCCAGUUGUUGAGUCGCCUCAACCUUGAAUAUUCCCAGUAGAGACCCAGGCACUAUGCAGCAAAAUCAAGGCAUCUUUUUCUGCAUCCAUUCUGAAUUCCUGACCCAUAGAAUCUGAUAGCACAUAAACUGGUUUCUAUUUUAUGCCCCUAACUUGGGGCAUGGUUGGGUUUUGUGGUUUGGGGUUGGGGUUGGUUUUUGCUUUGUUUUGUUUCGUUUGAGAUAGGGUAUUGCUCUGUCAACCAGGCUGGAGUGCAGCGGCGUGAUCAUAGCUCACUGCAGCCUCAAACUCCUGGCGCAAGCAAUCCUCCCACCUCAGCCUCCUGAGUAGCUGAGACCACAGGUGCACACCACCAUGCCUGCCCCCAAAAAUGUUCUCAUAUCAUUGCCCUUCCCUGUAUCCCCACCUUUGGCUGUGUAACUUUGCAAUACUCUUAUUAUGAGCAAAACAUAUGGUCUCACCUCUUGACUUUGGAUUUCGUUAUACGACUUGCUUUGGACAAUAAUUUUAAAAACCACAAAACUGACAGUGUGUCAUUUUUGAGCCUAGGUAUAUUAGUCAGAGAAAUAGAACCAGUAGUAUAGUAAAGAUACACGAGACAGAGACAGGGAGAGAGCCAGAGGGAAAGAUAGAUUUAUCAGGAGGUAUUGGCUCACGUGAUUAUGGAGGCUGAGAAGUCAUACAAUCUGCCAUCUCCAAGCUGGAGAUCCAGAAAAGUCAGUGGUGUCAUUCAGUUUGACUCCCAAAGGCCUGAGAACCAGUGUAGCCAAUGAUAUAAAUCCUCGUCUAGGGACCAGAGAAGAUAAGAUGAUAUGUCCCAGCUCAAGCAAUAAAGCAGUAAAAGAGGCAAAAUUCUCCUUCCUCCAUCUUUUGUUCUACUCAGGCCCUCAACAGAUUGGAUGAUAUCCACCCAACUGGGGAUGAUGGCAGCCUGCUUUACUGAGUACAGUGAUUCAAACGCUAAUGAUACAGGAGCUAAAAAGAAAUUAUUUAGGCAGACAGUGAGGGUAAGAGAGUCCUCAGCAGAAUUACCCUUUUAACAAAAAGCAGCCCCCAAAUAAUUUCUUUUCUAACAAAGAGCAGCCUGAAACUUUGAGCUGCAAACAUAGAUAAGCAAGCUGGAAGCUUGCACAGGUGAAUGCCAGCAGCUGUGCCAAUAGAAAAGGGCUACCUGGCAUGUUCAACAUGGAGGCUCCAUCUUCCCUUUUCUUUGUCACCACAUGUGCAGUAGAAAAGCAGGCAACAUGGUGCUGGCCAGGUAGAGAACCCAUCUGCAUAAUAAAACAUUAGGGUGGUGAGGCCAGCUUCUUUGUGCACUAUGCAAACGGCACCCGUAGUCCAAUCCGGGUCUUCACAUGCUAUGCAAAUGGCAUACCUGGUCUGACCAAUCCUUCAUGCCCUAUGUAAAUCAGACAUCACUUCCUCAAGCUCAUCUAUUAAACAUCCUGUACUUUGCCACAAACAGGAAGCCCUGCUUAGGAGCCCCUCUCUCUCUGCAGGAGAGAGAUUUUUCUCUUUCUUUCGCCUAUUAAACCUCUACUCUUAACCUCACUCCUUGUGUGUCCACAUCCUUGAUUUCCUUGGUGUGAAGCAGUGAACCUUGGGUAUUACCCCAGGCGAAUAAUGCCACUUCACUAAUACUCUCAAUCAGGCCAGGCAUAGUGGCCCAUGCCUGUAAU
RNAcentral lists this long non-coding RNA (5641 nucleotides) under Homo sapiens (human). RNAcentral describes it as "HSALNT0256095". The record is from RNAcentral. Lineage: Eukaryota; Metazoa; Chordata; Mammalia; Primates; Hominidae.